AAGCUUACCAUUAAUAUUGGUGUCCAUUAAUCAUUUUUGUCAAACAACUGUUACUAAUUGAUACUAAUACUCCUCCACGACUCGAGAUAAACUUGUUUGUCACUUCUGUGUAUCCAUCUUCCUUCACUUUAUUGUAUUAGGAGUAUGCAUGUAGAUGCAAGUGUAGGUGUAAGUAAACGGCAAUACAAUGCUUGAUCAAUACCACCUGCAUGUCUACUAGUUUACGUACAACUAUGACAGUCACUUGGCUAUGAAAUGACACUGAUGCUCACUACAACUGUCCCUUAUUUUAAAUAUUUGAUAGUUAGUAACUAGUUCAUGAUUUAGGAAACUACUGUAUUUGGCCAAGUACCAGUUAAUGACUAGUUUGUGUUGCGGGAGCUGAUGUGUUCUUAUGUUAUUUUUUCUAUUAUAAAAGGUUUUGACGGCUGGUUAUAAAGGGGGUUUGAAUUUGCGAGUAGGAAUCUUUUCAUCAGUUAAUAAAGGGGGCGGAAAACUGUCGCCUGAACUUGAGAAACAGGUGAGCAAACUUGUGAAUUAAUGACAUGAUUUGUUCUUGUAGGUGGAACGUGCGCCUGAACUUCAAAAGCAGAUCAAUGCUGUGAUAGUUCUUUGCUGCCCAGUCCGUUGGACAACUGGACAGAAGUGAUGACAAUCAUCAAGGCUAAAAACAAGGAAGGAUGAAUGUGGUGCUGGAGCACUAUGACGAAGAAGUGAGAAGAAAGCAAGGCAUGCAUGAUCUAGGCAUGCUGAAUUUUCUGGGAAUUUGGAUCUAGUGCUGAUUUUGCUGAGAAUUUGAUGUAUAUUUGCAUGCAAACAAAAUUCAAAUGCUGGGAGUUAUGUACAUAUUCUUAUAAUACUAUCCUAAUUGGAAAAUACGUUGGCAUUGAA
Hordeum vulgare subsp. vulgare (domesticated barley) is the source of this 891-nucleotide long non-coding RNA. RefSeq lists it as uncharacterized. NCBI's taxonomy places the organism in Eukaryota, Viridiplantae, Streptophyta, Magnoliopsida, Poales, Poaceae. The transcript has 2 exons. The record is from RefSeq and is a predicted model, not a curated record.